AAUSYUGUAGUUAAAGUUUUAUAACAGCGGCUUUUCAGGUCGCGGGUCCCGGAGAGAGACCGGGUGGGAAUU
RNAcentral lists this transfer RNA (72 nucleotides) under Melaenornis chocolatinus (Abyssinian slaty-flycatcher). RNAcentral's name for it is "tRNA-Glu". Lineage: Eukaryota; Metazoa; Chordata; Aves; Passeriformes; Muscicapidae. The record is from RNAcentral.